This 695-nucleotide ribosomal RNA is filed under the name uncultured bacterium. Its description in RNAcentral is "bacterial SSU rRNA". It matches the Rfam family "Bacterial small subunit ribosomal RNA", at positions 127 to 838 of the family's 1533-position model. The record is from RNAcentral.
UGCCUCAAAGAGGGGGACAACAGUUGGAAACGACUGCUAAUACCGCAUAAGCCCACGGCUCGGCAUCGAGCAGGGGGAAAAGGAGCAAUCCGCUUUGAGAUGGCCUCGCGUCCGAUUAGCUAGUUGGUGAGGUAAUGGCCCACCAAGGCGACGAUCGGUAGCCGGACUGAGAGGUUGAACGGCCACAUUGGGACUGAGACACGGCCCAGACUCCUACGGGAGGCAGCAGUGGGGAAUAUUGCACAAUGGGGGAAACCCUGAUGCAGCGACGCCGCGUGGAGGAAGAAGGUCUUCGGAUUGUAAACUCCUGUUGUUGAGGAAGAUAAUGACGGUACUCAACAAGGAAGUGACGGCUAACUACGUGCCAGCAGCCGCGGUAAAACGUAGGUCACAAGCGUUGUCCGGAAUUACUGGGUGUAAAGGGAGCGCAGGCGGGAGAACAAGUUGGAAGUGAAAUCCAUGGGCUCAACCCAUGAACUGCUUUCAAAACUGUUUUUCUUGAGUAGUGCAGAGGUAGGCGGAAUUCCCGGUGUAGCGGUGGAAUGCGUAGAUAUCGGGAGGAACACCAGUGGCGAAGGCGGCCUACUGGGCACCAACUGACGCUGAGGCUCGAAAGUGUGGGUAGCAAACAGGAUUAGAUACCCUGGUAGUCCACACCGUAAACGAUGAUUACUAGGUGUUGGAGGAUUGACCCC